AGGGUGGCAUAGACGGCGAGCCCAGGGAGGCCACUGACAUGCAUUCAAGAGAAAAGAAAAGAAGCCAGGCUUUGGCAUAAGUGCUUCAUGGUGGAGUGAGAAUGGCUUGCCCUGGAAGGGUCAUGUUUUAGAAGGAGUGAUCUUCAUUGUGAAGUCUAAACUGUUCUGGAAAUAUAAGCUUUGAAACCCAGGGCUGCCAACAGGGUCUAAAAUGAGACCACAAGGCUCUCCUUGACAGGAGUGGUGUGCUUAAAGACAAAGUCACCUGCAAGUACUGAAUUCUCACAGGAAGUCUCAGACGAAGACACUGCUAACUCCACUUUCAGAGAGAAACACUGAGGCUCAGAGCUAAACUAACUCGCCUCAGAGCCCACAUCCUGGACUUGAGCCUCAGGGUGUUGCAUGCCAAAGCCUGUCCUCUUCACCCCAGCUUCCUGGGCAUUGGAGCGGAUCCAUAGUGUUAGAUAUGCAGUGGGAAUGGCCCCCAUUCCAAGCCACUUCCUGACCUGAUGGCAGCACCCUGCUAGUCCUCACAUGGAGCCCUGGAGAAGCCGGGUUCCUUAACCCAGAUUUGAAUCAAUAGCCUCACACCUGGUAUGCACAUCCAGGCCAAGUGUGGCUGAAUGGGGAGCAUCUGUUCUGGAGACGGCCACCCUCAUGGGCUCCUCUGCUUCCUGUCCCUUCGGGCACUGAUUUAUGGCACACAGCAGGGAAGGGCCUGAGCUUGAGCCCUGACCAUCGUUAUCAUCACCAUCUUCAUUCCAGUGCAGUGAAGAACAUUCUGAAGGUAGAGAUGAAGGUCUUCUUUCUGAAUGAAGCUCCUUGCAUGAUUCAGGGAUCUUCCUCUUGAAGGCACCAAUCAUUUUGACUUUAAUGCAUGCACUCUGACUUACUUGUGGUGAUCUCUCCUGGAAAUACAUGGAAAAAUGAAAAAUAGGCUAACUGGGGAGAUUUCUUAAAUACCAGUUUGUAUGGCUGUGUUAACCUGAAUGAUUAAAUAUAGGAUUGUUUUUUAAGUUA
Long non-coding RNA from Homo sapiens (human), 1020 nucleotides. Ensembl annotates it as long intergenic non-protein coding RNA 841. The record is from Ensembl. NCBI's taxonomy places the organism in Eukaryota, Metazoa, Chordata, Mammalia, Primates, Hominidae.